UACGGGGGGGGCAAGCGUUGUUCGGAAUUACUGGGCGUAAAGGGCUCGUAGGUGGCCAACUAAGUCAGACGUGAAAUCCCUCGGCUCAACCGGGGAACUGCGUCUGAUACUGGAUGGCUUGAGUUCGGGUGAGGGAUGCGGAAUUCCAGGUGUAGCGGUGAAAUGCGUAGAUAUCUGGAGGAACACCGGUGGCGAAGGCGGCAUCCUGGACCGACACUGACGCUGAGGAGCGAAAGCCAGGGGAGCAAACGGG
Molecule: ribosomal RNA, 253 nt
Filed under: uncultured bacterium
Lineage: Bacteria
Description: partial 16S ribosomal RNA
Rfam family: Bacterial small subunit ribosomal RNA
Source: RNAcentral